ACGGAAGGCAGCAGUGGGGAAUAUUGCACAAUGGGCGAAAGCCUGAUGCAGCGACGCCGCGUGAGUGAAGAAGUAUCUCGGUAUGUAAAGCUCUAUCAGCAGGGGAGAAAAUGACGGUACCUGACUAAGAAGCCCCGGCUAACUACGUGCCAGCAGCCGCGGUAAUACGUAGGGGGCAAGCGUUAUCCGGAUUUACUGGGUGUAAAGGGAGCGUAGACGGUUUGGCAAGUCUGAAGUGAAAUGCGGGGGCUCAACUCCUGAACUGCUUUGGAAACUGUCGAACUAGAGUGCAGGAGAGGUAAGUGGAAUUCCUAGUGUAGCGGUGAAAUGCGUAGAUAUUAGGAGGAACACCAGUGGCGAAGGCGGCUUACUGGACUGUAACUGACGUUGAGGCUCGAAAGCGUGGGGAGCAAACAGGAUUAGAUACCCUGGUA
RNAcentral lists this ribosomal RNA (434 nucleotides) under uncultured Lachnospiraceae bacterium. RNAcentral describes it as "partial 16S ribosomal RNA". It matches the Rfam family "Bacterial small subunit ribosomal RNA", at positions 341 to 792 of the family's 1533-position model. The record is from RNAcentral. Lineage: Bacteria; Bacillati; Bacillota; Clostridia; Lachnospirales; Lachnospiraceae.